UCUCCCGCAGGUCGCAUCAGGGAGGCCAGACACAACACGGGGCCUGUGGCACCGCCUGGACUACAAAUACCUAAAGCCUCUGCUGACGCAUUACGGCCCCUCUCUGUCCGACUCUCUGCCACAGUGCUGCGGAGUCGGUGCCAGACUCUUCAGGAGCCCGAACAUCCAGGAGGAUGAGGAGCAGCUGUGUGAAACUGAACCAGACGACUGCGUCUGUGAUUUGGAGGAAACAGAGCGCCAGGUCGGGUCCAUAGGUGGCGACAAUUCAUCGGAGCACCAGGAGGACCUGCUGGAGGGAGACCUGGGCCUUGGCACCGCUGCGGCCCCCUCCAGGGAGAGCUGAAGCUCCAGAAGUCACGUCUAACCCCCCCCACCCGGCUUUAUCGGCCCUCUGCCUCAGCCCUGAGGCUACGGCCCCUGCCUCCCCACAGUGAAUAGGGGUCAGUGGUCCGGGGCAUCUGAGAGGAGCCGACCGGGAGUCAGAGUUACAAAAAGCUUCAUGAAAGGUCAUGCAACCCCCCUUCGUGCUGACAUUCAUGCAGAGACGCGCUCGCAGAGGGAGGGGGGAAGUUACAAAAAGCUUUUGCUCUUUCUGUUCCUCUGCUGAUGAAUACUGUUGGCUUGUUCUGCUUAAGUCUCGAGGAAUUUAGUAGCUGAGAAACAAUGAUUUCUAAUGUCUACCAAGAGGAGGCUGGAUCUGACCUCUGAGUGCACUUUUCAAACGGAAAGCAAAACCAAAAUGC
Non-coding RNA from Labrus bergylta (ballan wrasse), 743 nucleotides. The record is from RefSeq and is a predicted model, not a curated record. NCBI's taxonomy places the organism in Eukaryota, Metazoa, Chordata, Actinopteri, Labriformes, Labridae.